ACAGCCAGUUGAAAACACAGGUUCUCGUAUGAUCACCGAAGUUAAGCAACGUUGUACCUGGUCAGUACCUAGAUAGGUGACCACUUGGGAAUACCAGGUGCUGUAAG
Non-coding RNA from Acanthosepion pharaonis, 107 nucleotides. NCBI's taxonomy places the organism in Eukaryota, Metazoa, Mollusca, Cephalopoda, Sepiida, Sepiidae. The record is from the annotation of a GenBank genome assembly.